AAUUCAUUCCGAUAAAAAAAAAAAAAAAAUCAAACCUAACCUGUUGUCGACUGCUUUACUUGCUCUUCUUCCUCAAAUCCAAAACAAAAUUUCCUAAUUCUUUAACUCCAAUGAAUCCGAAAUUAGUAGUGAUGGCGUUUUCAUUUUUUCUGCUACUCUCUCUCUGCUACUCCGCCGAGUUCAGAUGCAACAGCGGCUGCAAUUUGUAUUGGGCAUGGUGCUUCAUCCUGCAAGGAACCAACCCAAGCUUCAUAGCCGAUGUUGAGAACACCUCAGAGUCGCUCGACGCAAUUCACCGUUUCAUUAGAGAUCAAUUCCCAAACAACGACGGUUACCACGGAUUCGCCAUAAGCAGAAGCCCCUUCCCCUGUAAUUGCAGCAGCGAUGGAUUCGUCGGCUACGUUUUACAAUACAGCGUGCUAUCCAACGACACCUACGACGUCAUCGCCGAGGAGUA
RNAcentral lists this unclassified non-coding RNA (457 nucleotides) under Hevea brasiliensis (rubber tree). Lineage: Eukaryota; Viridiplantae; Streptophyta; Magnoliopsida; Malpighiales; Euphorbiaceae. The record is from RNAcentral.